UACGUAGGGUGCAAGCGUUAAUCGGAAUUACUGGGCGUAAAGCGUGCGCAGGCGGCUUUGCAAGACAGAUGUGAAAUCCCCGGGCUUAACCUGGGAACUGCAUUUGUGACUGCAUGGCUUGAGUGCGGCAGAGGGGGAUGGAAUUCCGCGUGUAGCAGUGAAAUGCGUAGAUAUGCGGAGGAACACCGAUGGCGAAGGCAAUCCCCUGGGCCUGCACUGACGCUCAUGCACGAAAGCGUGGGGAGCAAACAGG
Molecule: ribosomal RNA, 253 nt
Filed under: uncultured bacterium
Lineage: Bacteria
Description: partial 16S ribosomal RNA
Rfam family: Bacterial small subunit ribosomal RNA
Source: RNAcentral